Molecule: non-coding RNA, 815 nt
Organism: Camellia sinensis
Lineage: Eukaryota; Viridiplantae; Streptophyta; Magnoliopsida; Ericales; Theaceae
Source: RefSeq, a predicted model, not a curated record
AUGUUGUAGAUAUUUGGAGUCCUUGAUGUGGAGAAAAAGGGUAAAAUAACAUUCAAGCAGGUGAUAAUCUCUCUCUUAGUUAUGCAUGCGAUCCCCAAUCGGUCCCAACUUUGUCUGCACAAAGCCAAUACGGAGCUUCUCAUAGAUGGGAAAUCUAUUGCUUGCAGUUCCUGUAUGGGUCAGCUCAUGCCCUAUAGCAACCAUUUUCAGACGAGCAUGUGAAUUAGCCUUCAUUGAGUGUCACACUGGUGGAAACCAUUACAUUUCCGAGCAUGUCUCAUACUCUUUUCCUUGGUAUUCCCUUUUAUUUAUUAUACUUUUGGAUAAGGUUUAAGUUGCGUACUCGUGGUUGGUAAAUGGAUAGCUCAGUUGGGAGAUUCCAUUAAGGCGGCUAUUCCAAACAUGGACGAGUUUGAGAUCCAUGAACUAUUCAAAUCAUUUGAUACCGAUAGCGAUGGGAGGAUCAACAAGGAUGAUUUUAUCACCUGUUUAAGAGGAAAUCCAUUGCUUGUAGCACUUUUCUCUCCCCAGUAAUGCACAAUAACUUGUCUGCAGUCAAUGACACAGAGGAGGCUAAAGGAGAUGGUGUGAUGGAUGAUGGGUUGAUGGGUCUUGUUGUAGAUUUGGCUCUAUGAAACAUUUUAGCUCUUUCACAUAGGGCUUAAGUGAGGGAUAGGUUAUUUGCAGAUAAUUCUUUUUUCUUUUGAAAAUAGUCACUUAACUUCUUGUGGUUUGUUGAAUAAAAUAUAGUCUUCGUCAAGAUUAACAAUGUAUUACACAUGCCUACAUUUUCAAAUAGUAGGGGAUUAUGUGCA